RNAcentral lists this ribosomal RNA (460 nucleotides) under uncultured bacterium. RNAcentral describes it as "partial 16S ribosomal RNA". It matches the Rfam family "Bacterial small subunit ribosomal RNA", at positions 338 to 795 of the family's 1533-position model. The record is from RNAcentral.
CCUACGGGAGGCAGCAGUGAGGAAUAUUGGUCAAUGGACGAGAGUCUGAACCAGCCAAGUAGCGUGAAGGAUGACUGCCCUAUGGGUUGUAAACUUCUUUUAUAUGGGAAUAAAAUGUUCCACGUGUGGGAUUUUGUAUGUACCAUAUGAAUAAGGAUCGGCUAACUCCGUGCCAGCCGCCGCGGUAAUACGGAGGAUCCGAGCGUUAUCCGGAUUUAUUGGGUUUAAAAGUAGCUUAGGUGGAUUGUUAAGUCAGUUGUGAAAGUUUGCGGCUCAACCGUAAAAUUGCAGUUGAAACUGGCAGUCUUGAGUACAGGAGAGGUGGGCGGAAUUCGUGGUGUAGCGGUGAAAUGCUUAGCUAUCACGAAGAACUCCGAUUGCGAAGGCAGCUCACUGGACUGCAACUGACACUGAGGCUCGAAAGUGUGGGUAUCAAACAGGAUUAGAUACCCUUGUAGUC